Molecule: non-coding RNA, 23 nt
Filed under: Arabidopsis thaliana (thale cress)
Lineage: Eukaryota; Viridiplantae; Streptophyta; Magnoliopsida; Brassicales; Brassicaceae
Source: RNAcentral
AAAGGUGACUCCGACGACGGGAU